ACCCAACAUGGCUUCCAUCAGUGGGCAGCUGGAGGAGCUGUACAUGGCCCACAGCAGAAAGGACAUGAAUGACACCCUGACCUCCGCCCUCAUGGGUGCCUGUGUCACUGCCUCGGCCAUGCCCAGCAGACUCAUGAUGGAGCAUGUUCUCUUAGUCAGCAUCCUUCACCACACAGUUGGAAUCGAGUGAAAAAACAGGGUUCCAGGAACUUGCUGAAGACCACACAGACCCACGUGCAGGUCUUCUCGUCCUUCAGUCCACAGUUACGGAAUUUGGGAUAAAAUGUACCAGAACAGCACAAGGAAAACACUUAGGCCUUGCUUAACUCCACCAGGCCUGGCAGUUCCUGGCCCCAGUUCCACCCCUCAGGGCAGUGUCUGGUUUACCUGCUGGUCCCCAUCAGGACCCGGUGCCCCUCAAACCACUGGCUGAGCCAAGUCGGUGCCCACUUUCUGGAGGCAGUGGUGAGGAAGUUCGAUGCCGUCUAUAAACACGGAAGCGAAGGGAAAGAGUGUGACAACCUGUUCACCAUCAUUGCCCAUUUAUACAACUUCCACGUGGUACAGUCUCUCCUCAUCUUCGACAUUUUGAAAAACCUGAUUGGAACUUUCACCGAAAAAGAUAUUGAACUGAUCUUGUUAAUGCUGAAAAACGUGGGUUUUUCAUUGAGGAAAGAUGAUGCUUUAUCACUUAAGGAACUGAUCA
RNAcentral lists this small RNA (706 nucleotides) under Pongo abelii (Sumatran orangutan). Its description in RNAcentral is "processed transcript". The record is from RNAcentral. Lineage: Eukaryota; Metazoa; Chordata; Mammalia; Primates; Hominidae.